AAGCCAGAGUCGCUCCCUCGCCCGUGCGCGGGGGCAGAUCCCUUGUCUUGUUCGAAACCCAACCCAGGCGAGGGCGCCCAUUGAACUAUGAAUUAACACCCCACCAAAGGAGGGGGGAGGGGGAGUCCAAGCCUGCAGCCUGUGCCCCGGUGCCUGGGCACUGCAGAGCUCUGCUAGCAGAGCGUGCCGGCUUAUGUAACCCAUUUGCUGGACUGCCCGGGCAUUGGCGCGGCUGCAGCCCAAACCCUGCCAUUUCCUGGGGGCAGAGCCCAGGCCCGUUGCAAGGGAAGUGAGUAACUUUGCAGGGGGUGGGGGGGGGGUGAGCAAGGGGAGGUCUCCGCAGGGUAGGAGAAAGGACCGGGUGUGCAACGCUGGUUCAACUUCAUAGGGCUGCGCUCCCGCGGCACGUCCCGCCCGCUCUCUUGCGUUGCUGCGUCAGAGGCGAGCUCCUGGCGCGCGGCUGCCCCAUUUCCCGGCCGCUUCCCGGGGCGGGCAGGAGCGCGGCGCGCGGCCGGCUGGGCUCCCGGCGCGUGGGCGGGGUGGGGGCUCUGCAGUGGCGCCCGAGGCAGGUGGCGGGGGCGGUCACGUUUUUUAAGGGCACGCUCGGGGGAGCGUCUCUCUCUCUCUCUCUGCCCCCGGGCUACUCGGAAAACCCGGGCGAGUUGCUGCACGUCACGUUGCCUUGGCUCCUGCAGCGGUGGAGGCAAUCUCCUGGGGGGGCUGGAGGAGCGCCAGAGACUGGCUGAGCGGGGCCCCCAGGAGAAAGCCACCAUCCCAUGCACAGGGGCUGGAACUAGGGGGGCUGCUGCACCCCCUGGCUUGAAGGGGUUCCCACCAUAUACAGGGGUUGCAAUUUGGUUCAAUGGCUCUCAACACACACACACACACACACACACACACACACACACUUCCAGCGCCCUUGAUCCCACAUUCACCCCGCAUCACGCUUACCAGCCUCUUCAGUGUCACUUGCGUCUGCCAGGCAGGCUCAGGGCUGGAUUCACCUUUUGUGGGCCCGGCGCCAAACAUAUCUGUGAGCCCCCUGGGGGUAUGGCGCGGGGGGGGGGGGUCGGUCCCCGGAGUGAGAGGCCGGCCGGGGGCAUGGCAUGGCAGGGGCGGCCCUGCUCUGCCCAGCCCAGUGCAAGGGCACUAUUUACAAACCGGCAGUUGCCAGAUGCACAAUGGCCCGCCCGGCCCUGUGCUGUCAGCGUGCCCCUUCCCCUCCGGGGUGGGCCCAUGCUGCCCAACACUGGAAUACACCCCCCCCCGAUUCCCUAUGACCAGAGCCCCCACAG
Molecule: long non-coding RNA, 1295 nt
Filed under: Chrysemys picta bellii (western painted turtle)
Lineage: Eukaryota; Metazoa; Chordata; Testudines; Emydidae
Description: lncRNA (ENSCPBG00000023340.1)
Source: RNAcentral